AAUAACUGGUGCAAUAAUCAGACGAUGGUAAUGACUGGUCGGGAAGAUUAAUAUGCAAACAUAUUCCAUAUGUUUAUGAGUGGGUAUGAAGUGAAACACUUCCAUUAAAGAAAUCUAUUUUGGGGCAGUACCAGUAAAAUCGUUGAAAUUAUUACUGUAGCGGGUGCUACCUGUUAACUGAGAUCAGGCAAGACAGAAUGUGGCAAAUGGAUCGACUAAAUUCAAUUGGAUAAACUGUCUCACCUCGUUAUUGUUUAAGAGCAGGGCAGCCCAUCUCACAGACGAGUAAACUGUAAAAGCUGCAGUUGUCUGUUAUUGUCGUGUCGUAACAUCAAUGAAGCUACAGCUCGUUUGCAUCUGACAACAUACUUCUGGAGGCAGUCUCUCCCCACGGCCUACCGGCUCUUGGUAAGCCGACCAAAUGGUCUUCAUCAGAUCAUGACCCCACCUGGACUGACGAACGUCAAUCCUGAGCUAGGAGGACUGCUCAGUCAAGCUGACAAGACAAAGGAAAUUGAAGUGAACUAUCAGUCACAAGCUGUGGGCAGGCCAAGGAGUGGCCAGAGACAAAUUAACCAGUGUUUUAAGCACGUUGCUUGACAUUGAACCUCACCCAUGAAUUCAAUGAUCCAAUCAAAAUGGAUCAAGGUUUAAUUCAGAAAGACUGGAACAAGGUCUGAAGUUGGGAAGCUGACUGUAAAAAGUUAUGUGCUGAAGGUGAAAUCUGCUCUGAAGAGUGAAUAGAAUCCGAUACGAAAAUGGGUAAAAUCAUGUCCCGAGAAGACUAAAACCAGCUCUGAAGAGGACCCUGCUCUGCAUGGUAAACUCUAACCAGGAAACGGGACGAUUGCAAGGACCCACGACGGGCCCUUUUGUAAACUGCUUGGAACUGAAGAGAAACCAACAGCCAUUUCGAUUCAGAGACCUGCAUCCCGAGCCAUAAUUCUAACCAGGGUUGUUUAAAUGAACUUAAAUAAUUAAGUGCUGAGAUAAUCCAGGUGACUAGUAAUUAAGAGGACUUGGGUGAUUAGAAUAGUUCGCUGAAACAACACAAGACCCACAUGUUUGCAGUGGAUUAAGCCACAUAUUCUUUAAACUGAGUACGUCUGAUCAGCAGAACCCGUUCCAUUUGGAAACCUUUCGACAAGCCAAAGAUAAUGUUGCAGGGUUGUUGAUCAGGACUUCCCUCCUUUUGAUAACAACUAUUAUCUUGUUGCGAGCCGACUCAGUACAAUGCCAACAACAACCAAAGUACAUUCUUUUCCUUCUGUGGAACGUCCCAGAGAGAUUGACUGCUUUGUUGAAAAUCAAGAAGUAUUCAACAAAUCAAAUAUUAAACAUUUUAUGGCUCGGAAAUUUAACUGUGGCAAAUGCAGGGAAGUUAGUGGAUAAAUUGUUCUAGGAAUAUAACUUCCUGUUUUAGUGUGCAAGAAAUAUAUUUUGUUAAUGUGUAACUCAAAGGAGUUGCCUCAAAUGCGAAAAUUUUGAUCAUUUCCCCAUUUAAGUGAUAACAUGUUGUUUGGUAGAUCAUGUCUGAGCUAAGUUAACCCUAUAAAACUAAUUUUGAUAAAUUACUUCUUGGAAUGUGGGAUUCCGUUCUGAAUGGGGGAAGUUCAAUGAAUUCUCAUGCAUUUGUAUAUGAAAUAUGAUCACUUGAAAUGAGUAUUAAAUACUAAUGCAUAGUAGACGCUGAUCAGCCAUAAUUUAAUAUUGAUAUAUUAACUAUAUGCUAAUAUUGUAAUCAUAUGACUAGGAAAUCAAUGAACUGUAUACUAUUCAUGUAUGUUUAUAACCAAUCACCUUUCUGUAAGAUUAGUUGUGCACCCUUUUUAGUCUUAAAUAAAAUCUUAUUUUGUAUUAGA
Long non-coding RNA from Polyodon spathula (Mississippi paddlefish), 1862 nucleotides. RefSeq lists it as uncharacterized. The transcript is spliced from 3 exons. Lineage: Eukaryota; Metazoa; Chordata; Actinopteri; Acipenseriformes; Polyodontidae. The record is from RefSeq and is a predicted model, not a curated record.